RNAcentral lists this transfer RNA (95 nucleotides) under Gemmatimonadota bacterium. RNAcentral describes it as "Gemmatimonadetes bacterium (activated sludge metagenome) tRNA-Sec". It matches the Rfam family "Selenocysteine transfer RNA". The record is from RNAcentral. Lineage: Bacteria; Pseudomonadati; Gemmatimonadota.
GGGGGCGGAUCCGGGCUGGUGCCUGGGCCGAUCUUCAAAAUCGCGACGGACGCCGCUCCGCGGGGUCCGGUGGGUUCGAUUCCCACACGCUCCCG